UGGGGAAUAUUGCACAAUGGGGGAAACCCUGAUGCAGCGACGCCGCGUGAACGAAGAAGGUAUUCGUAUCGUAAAGUUCUGUCCUAUGGGAAGAUAAUGACAGUACCAUAGAAGAAAGCUCCGGCUAAAUACGUGCCAGCAGCCGCGGUAAUACGUAUGGAGCGAGCGUUGUCCGGAAUUAUUGGGCGUAAAGGGUACGCAGGCGGUUUAAUAAGUCGAAUGUUGAAGAUCGGGGCUCAACCCCGCAAAGCAUUGGAAACUGAUAAACUUGAGUAGUGGAGAGGAAAGUGGAAUUCCUAGUGUAGUGGUGAAAUACGUAGAUAUUAGGAGGAAUACCAGUAGCGAAGGCGACUUUCUGGACACAAACUGACGCUGAGGUACGAAAGCGUGGGGAGCAAACAGG
RNAcentral lists this ribosomal RNA (403 nucleotides) under bacterium. Its description in RNAcentral is "partial 16S ribosomal RNA". It matches the Rfam family "Bacterial small subunit ribosomal RNA", at positions 355 to 776 of the family's 1533-position model. The record is from RNAcentral.